GGAGGGUGCGAGCGUUAAUCGGAAUAACUGGGCGUAAAGGGCACGCAGGCGGUGACUUAAGUGAGGUGUGAAAGCCCCGGGCUUAACCUGGGAAUUGCAUUUCAUACUGGGUCGCUAGAGUACUUUAGGGAGGGGUAGAAUUCCACGUGUAGCGGUGAAAUGCGUAGAGAUGUGGAGGAAUACCGAAGGCGAAGGCAGCCCCUUGGGAAUGUACUGACGCUCAUGUGCGAAAGCGUGGGGAGCAAACAGGAUUAGAUACCCUGGUAGUCCACGCUGUAAACGAUGUCGAUUUGGGGGUUGAACUUUAAGUUUGGCGCCCGUAGCUAACGUGAUAAAUCGACCGCCUGGGGAGUACGGCCGCAAGGUUA
Molecule: ribosomal RNA, 368 nt
Filed under: uncultured Haemophilus sp.
Lineage: Bacteria; Pseudomonadati; Pseudomonadota; Gammaproteobacteria; Pasteurellales; Pasteurellaceae
Description: bacterial SSU rRNA
Rfam family: Bacterial small subunit ribosomal RNA
Source: RNAcentral